This 1514-nucleotide long non-coding RNA is filed under the name Mytilus galloprovincialis (Mediterranean mussel). Lineage: Eukaryota; Metazoa; Mollusca; Bivalvia; Mytilida; Mytilidae. The record is from RNAcentral.
UUGAAAAACCUUUAAUGUGAUAAUAUUUAUGAAAAUGUAUGUUAUAAAUGAGGAUCUGAAUGAGGUUAAUAAAAGGGAGAUUAAUUGGUCACUAAAAGCAGUGAAGAGUUAAGGAAGCUGGCUUGUCAUGUUUUAGAUUUUUUGUCAGAUUUUCGGAAUCCUUUGGUUUUAUCCAUUUGAAUGCCUUAAAAAAAAAUCCCCGGUGAUCCCCACUUUUCUUUUUGUAAAUCUUUUACAUGUACAUGUAUAAUGAUAAGCCAUCUGUAAAGGUUUAAUAAAAUUUUAAAUACUUUUUAACAGUUUUUGAGAACUUCAACUUGUCAAUGAUAAAGCUAUGAAAAGUCAAGGGAGAAUAUCUUUCCGCCAGAAUUUUGAUGGCUAAUAUCUCGAAAACAAGCACGGUGACCUAAAUAUUUUUUUUGCUCUUUGGAUUCCUUUAUUAAUCCCCGAACUCCCUUAAAUGGGCCAAACAUAUUAUAAAUAGACAAUAAUAAAAAUGUAAUGCUGGAAUAUAAAUAACAGAGAAUAAUGAUUAUCAUGACUUUUAUGGGCCAAAAAUCAGAAAAAGAGAAAAAUGCCCUGAAAAUAAAAAAAUACAUAGAUGAAGACAUUUUCACCUGAACCCUCACAGAUGUGCUGUUCUUUGUUUCUACAGAUUUGUUAGUACUUUUAAAAAUAAGUAUUGCUAUAUUUGAUUUUUAUGUUAAACUUGCAUUUAAGGGUACUAAUAUUUCUGUUUUACUUUUAAUUGACCAAGACAUUUGUAAUAAUAACUGUAUGCUCCUCUGAUUGUCCCUAUGGCAUAACAUGGUUUUAUAUUAUUUUACUUUUAAAGGGUAAUUUUACCUAGAAUGUGGAAUGCAAGGACCAAUAGUUUAGGUCUAUUGAUACUUCACUAGGGACCAACAUCAGUUGGACCUCAUUUACAUGUUUAUUCCUAAUCCAUCAUUCAUUAGUAUUGGUAAAAAUGUCAAAUAAAUAAAAUAUUAUGGUAUAAAAGAAACCUUAUAUUAAGUACAAUAUUUACAAUCAUGUUGCACUGAUAACUUGGAAAGAUCUAAUAAUCAAAACAUAGUACAUUUUUUUCAGAAAGGUUAACCUUAUUAUUUGGUCAAAUUGGAUAACGCAGGGAAGGCAUUUUAGAAUGUUCACCCUUGUUUACUUGUUCAGUUACUUAUUUUUUUAAUAAUAUUUGAUCUGUUCAUUGAUAUUUUUUUUAAUCCCAUUUUAAAGAAUUUUCACAGGCUUUGGUUAGGGACCACCUUUUUCUUGGGUAAAUACACACUCAUUUAAUGUGAUUGAUCUUAUUCCAAUGGUAUUACAAUAUCAGUAGUACAUAAUCCUGCCCCUUUAUUUGUAUUUUCCCCCUAACAAAAAAGGACAGUCAAAUCAUCCAUUUUUAUAAGAAUUCUGAAAAGCAGAAAUUGAAGUUUACAUUGGAUUCUAAGUAACUGCUUAUUCUAGACAAACUUCUCUACUUUAUUGCUCUGUCUCUCUAAACUCCUGAGUUUCUU